This 296-nucleotide unclassified non-coding RNA is filed under the name Rhizobium giardinii. RNAcentral describes it as "partial ribonuclease P RNA". It matches the Rfam family "Bacterial RNase P class A", at positions 62 to 333 of the family's 367-position model. Rfam says of the family: Ribonuclease P (RNase P) is a ubiquitous endoribonuclease, found in archaea, bacteria and eukarya as well as chloroplasts and mitochondria. Its best characterised activity is the generation of mature 5'-ends of tRNAs by cleaving the 5'-leader elements of precursor-tRNAs. Cellular RNase Ps are ribonucleoproteins. Lineage: Bacteria; Pseudomonadati; Pseudomonadota; Alphaproteobacteria; Hyphomicrobiales; Rhizobiaceae. The record is from RNAcentral.
CGGAAAAACGGUGCCGGAUAACGUCCGGCGGGGGCGACCCCAGGGAAAGUGCCACAGAGAGGAUACCGCCUGCUUCCCAGCAGGUAAGGGUGAAAGGGUGGGGUAAGAGCCCACCGCGCGCAUGGCAACAUGGGUGGCAAGGCAAACCCCACCGGGAGCAAGACCGAAUAGGGAUGACGUGGACCGCGCAAGCGAUCCGGCCUUUUCCGGGCCAGUCAUCCGGGUGGGUUGCAGGAGGCAGCGCGCAAGCGUUGUCCCAGAUGAAUGGCUGCCACGUUCCGGCUUUCGGGCCGGGG